Molecule: ribosomal RNA, 495 nt
Filed under: uncultured bacterium
Lineage: Bacteria
Description: partial 16S ribosomal RNA
Rfam family: Bacterial small subunit ribosomal RNA
Source: RNAcentral
GACGAACGCUGGCGGCGUGCCUAAUACAUGCAAGUAGAACGCUGAAGGAGGAGCUUGCUUCUCUGGAUGAGUUGCGAACGGGUGAGUAACGCGUAGGUAACCUGCCUGGUAGCGGGGGAUAACUAUUGGAAACGAUAGCUAAUACCGCAUAAGAGUAGAUGUCGCAUGACAUUUGCUUAAAAGGUGCAAUUGCAUCACUACCAGAUGGACCUGCGUUGUAUUAGCUAGUUGGUGAGGUAACGGCUCACCAAGGCAACGAUACAUAGCCGACCUGAGAGGGUGAUCGGCCACACUGGGACUGAGACACGGCCCAGACUCCUACGGGAGGCAGCAGUAGGGAAUCUUCGGCAAUGGACGGAAGUCUGACCGAGCAACGCCGCGUGAGUGAAGAAGGUUUUCGGAUCGUAAAGCUCUGUUGUAAGAGAAGAACGAGUGUGAGAGUGGAAAGUUCACGCUGUGACGGUAUCUUACCAGAAAGGGACGGCUAACUACGUG